CACUCCUGCGGGAGGCAGCAGUGGGGAAUUUUGGACAAUGGGCGAAAGCCUGAUCCAGCAAUGCCGCGUGAGUGAAGAAGGCCUUCGGGUUGUAAAGCUCUUUUGUCAGGGAAGAAACGGUGAGAGCUAAUAUCUCUUGCUAAUGACGGUACCUGAAGAAUAAGCACCGGCUAACUACGUGCCAGCAGCCGCGGUAAUACGUAGGGUGCAAGCGUUAAUCGGAAUUACUGGGCGUAAAGCGUGCGCAGGCGGUUUUGUAAGUCUGAUGUGAAAUCCCCGGGCUCAACCUGGGAAUUGCAUUGGAGACUGCAAGGCUAGAAUCUGGCAGAGGGGGGUAGAAUUCCACGUGUAGCAGUGAAAUGCGUAGAUAUGUGGAGGAACACCGAUGGCGAAGGCAGCCCCCUGGGUCAAGAUUGACGCUCAUGCACGAAAGCGUGGGGAGCAAACAGGAUUAGAAACCCCGGUAGUCCCAUGA
Molecule: ribosomal RNA, 475 nt
Filed under: uncultured organism
Description: partial 16S ribosomal RNA
Rfam family: Bacterial small subunit ribosomal RNA
Source: RNAcentral